CGAAGGGUUUCGGCCUUAGUUGGCGGACGGGUGAGUAACGCGUAGGUAUCUAUCCAUGGGGUGGGGGAUAACACUGGGAAACUGGUGCUAAUACCGCAUGACACCUGAGGGUCAAAGGCGUAAGUCGCCUGUGGAGGAGCCUGCGUUUGAUUAGCUAGUUGGUGGGGUAAAGGCCUACCAAGGCGAUGAUCAAUAGCUGGUUUGAGAGGAUGAUCAGCCACACUGGGACUGAGACACGGCCCAGACUCCUACGGGAGGCAGCAGUGGGGAAUAUUGGACAAUGGGGGCAACCCUGAUCCAGCAAUGCCGCGUGUGUGAAGAAGGUCUUCGGAUUGUAAAGCACUUUCGACGGGGACGAUGAUGACGGUACCCGUAGAAGAAGCCCCGGCUAACUUCGUGCCAGCAGCCGCGGUAAUACGAAGGGGGCUAGCGUUGCUCGGAAUGACUGGGCGUAAAGGGCGUGUAGGCGGUUUGUACAGUCAGAUGUGAAAUCCCCGGGCUUAACCUGGGAGCUGCAUUUGAUACGUGCAGACUAGAGUGUGAGAGAGGGUUGUGGAAUUCCCAGUGUAGAGGUGAAAUUCGUAGAUAUUGGGAAGAACACCGGUGGCGAAGGCGGCAACCUGGCUCAUUACUGACGCUGAGGCGCGAAAGCGUGGGGAGCAAACAGGAUUAGAUA
RNAcentral lists this ribosomal RNA (676 nucleotides) under Acetobacter pomorum. RNAcentral's name for it is "bacterial SSU rRNA". It matches the Rfam family "Bacterial small subunit ribosomal RNA", at positions 75 to 784 of the family's 1533-position model. Lineage: Bacteria; Pseudomonadati; Pseudomonadota; Alphaproteobacteria; Acetobacterales; Acetobacteraceae. The record is from RNAcentral.